RNAcentral lists this small RNA (19 nucleotides) under Arabidopsis thaliana (thale cress). RNAcentral's name for it is "ATSL149560". Lineage: Eukaryota; Viridiplantae; Streptophyta; Magnoliopsida; Brassicales; Brassicaceae. The record is from RNAcentral.
UAGUUCUCACUUUAUCUUU